GCCGUGGUAGCUCAUUGGUAGAGCAGACGCCUGAAGAGCGCCUGGUAGGGAGUUCGAUUCUCCCCCGCGGCACCC
RNAcentral lists this transfer RNA (75 nucleotides) under Candidatus Staskawiczbacteria bacterium RIFCSPHIGHO2_02_FULL_42_22. RNAcentral's name for it is "tRNA-Phe". It matches the Rfam family "tRNA". From Rfam's summary of the family: Transfer RNA (tRNA) molecules are approximately 80 nucleotides in length. Their secondary structure includes four short double-helical elements and three loops (D, anti-codon, and T loops). The record is from RNAcentral. Lineage: Bacteria; Candidatus Staskawicziibacteriota.